GGAACCGUAGCUCAGCGGUAGAGCAUAAGAUUGCAAUCCAAUCUGGUAUACAUCUUGGGGUCCCGUGUUCGAACCACGGCGGUUCCU
Non-coding RNA from Diaporthe citri, 87 nucleotides. NCBI's taxonomy places the organism in Eukaryota, Fungi, Ascomycota, Sordariomycetes, Diaporthales, Diaporthaceae. The record is from the annotation of a RefSeq genome assembly.